UUGAGCAUUUUUUAUAUGUAUAUAAAAAUUUAACUUUUUCUUGAGAGCUGGAUAGGACAAGCUUUACUUAAUUUACAAAUUUGAGGAAUGUUAACUUGUUUUGUGCAAAGAUAUUCCACGUAAUUGGUCAGGAAAUAUAUGGCUCAGUAGCUCAGUUCGGAAUAUUUAACUCGCUGUUGAAAAGUGAGUUGGCACCGAGAAUAAAUAAAGACGAGAUCAGAAGGCAUCCCGUGGCAGCUCGUCCUCCCUCAUCCAUUUGUUAAAAAAGGUCGUUGCAAGGUCGGUAAGUGAAAGUGCACUGAAGCUGUAAAAAUCUGAGAGAUAACACUGUGCGAUACCAAAAAAUUCCUUGGAAGUUAUGUAUAUUUUCUGGUAGAUCUUUUCGAGUAAAACAAGAAUCGAAAUAUGAAAUUUGUCUAACACCCCCAAUUUCUUGAUUUACCGUUAAAAAAAAAAACGGGUUUUCGUACUUUUGCGCACUUAUAAGCCUGUGACUUAGUCGAUUAUGAACCGAGUUUCAGUUUAUUGUCGGGUUUGAAAAGAAGAAACUCGGGCCUUCCGAACGAUAUAUGUACAUAUAUGCGAAUAAAGAAGUCUUAAGAUAUCUGUGUGUAUUUACCCAGAAAACACAUUUUUUUUUAUUUUUUUUUUAGUUUUGCUAAGGUUUUCACGCAUUAUUUUAUAAGAAAACCAUACUAGUCCUAAAUUGAUUUUAAAACCAAAUUUAUUAUCGAAAAAAUCAAGUUUAAUCGAUUUCCAAAAAUCGGACGAAACCUUUUAUGAAAACAAAAUUAAAAAAAAAAAAUAUGUAUUAUUUUUUGCUAUACAACUUAAAAAUGUUUGCUUAGCCGCGUAUUCCUGCUUUAUGCUUUUUUGUAACACUUUCUAGUCAUUCACUUUGCAACCUAUGUGUCGGUUCCCACCAAAGGGUCAUCCUUGCUCCAGCAAGCUUGGAUGACAAUUUCGUCGGGUGCGUAGGUGCGACAAAUAAGAACAAAAAGAGGUCGUGAGAUAAUUUUUUCCGAUAAAAAAAUUAUUACUCUUGCAACAAUCGCCCAAUCCACAGAACGAUAAGCUUAUGUGUGAGCUUCCCUCAACAAAUCGAAGGGUCAAACGGUUCCAAAAUACCACGUCAGCUUUGCCUCUCUAACAGUAUUGUUGGUAACAGCUUUGAGAUGUGACUUCCAGUUAGGGAUGCAAAUUUUCAGAGCCAACAUCGAUACAUCGAUAUUUCGAUGUAUCGUAAACACUAACAUCGAUGCCGA
Molecule: long non-coding RNA, 1265 nt
Organism: Rhagoletis zephyria (snowberry fruit fly)
Lineage: Eukaryota; Metazoa; Arthropoda; Insecta; Diptera; Tephritidae
Source: RefSeq, a predicted model, not a curated record